Molecule: non-coding RNA, 68 nt
Organism: Salmo salar (Atlantic salmon)
Lineage: Eukaryota; Metazoa; Chordata; Actinopteri; Salmoniformes; Salmonidae
Source: Rfam
CCCUGUAGCUCAGUUGGUAGAGCAUGGUGUUUGCAACACCAGGGUUGUGGGUUUGAUUCCCACAGGGG